Molecule: long non-coding RNA, 520 nt
Organism: Dreissena polymorpha
Lineage: Eukaryota; Metazoa; Mollusca; Bivalvia; Myida; Dreissenidae
Exons: 2
Source: RefSeq, a predicted model, not a curated record
GCGGGCGGCGGGCGGAAGGCAUCACUUUGUCCGGACUCUAAUUCAAAUUGUAUUCAUCCGAUCUUCACCAAACUUGGUCAGCAGUUGCAUCUAGUUGAUAUCUAGGCCAAGUUCGAAUAUGGGUCAUGCCGGGUCAAAAACUAGGUCAUAGGGUCAAUAAGUGCAUUUUCAAAGGGGCCACUUUGUCCGGACUCUAUUUCAAAUUGUAUUCAUCCGAUCUUCACCAAACUUGGUCAGCAGUUGCAUCUAGUUGAUAUAUAGGCCAAGUUCGAAUAUGGGUCAUGCCGGGUCAAAAACUAGGUCAUAGGGUCAAUUAGUGCAUUUUCAACGGCGCCACUUUGUCCGGACUCUUAUUCAAAUUGUAUUCAUCCGAUCUUCACCAAACUUGGUCAGUAGUUGCAUCUAGUUGAUAUCUAGGUCAAGUUCGAAUAUGGGUCAUGUCGGGUCAAGAACUAGGUCAUAGGGUCAAUUAGUGCAUUUUCAACGGCGCCACUUUGUCCGGACUCUAAUUCAAAUUGUA